Molecule: ribosomal RNA, 230 nt
Filed under: uncultured bacterium
Lineage: Bacteria
Description: partial 16S ribosomal RNA
Rfam family: Bacterial small subunit ribosomal RNA
Source: RNAcentral
CACGGGUGAGUAACACGUGGAUAAUCUACCUAUAAGCCUGGGACAACAGUUGGAAACGACUGCUAAUACCGGAUACGCACUACGGUGGAAAGAUGGUUUCGGCCAUUACUUAUAGAUGAGUCCGCGCAUGAUUAGCUAGUUGGAAGGGUAAGAGCCUCCCAAGGCGAAGAUCAUUAGCCGGCCUGAGAGGGUGAUCGGCCACACUGGGACUGAGACACGGCCCAGACUCC